This is a non-coding RNA of Triticum aestivum (bread wheat), 115 nucleotides long. The record is from Rfam. Lineage: Eukaryota; Viridiplantae; Streptophyta; Magnoliopsida; Poales; Poaceae.
CUUGUACUCCCUCUGUCCGAAAAUACUUGUCAUUGAAAUGGAUGUAUCUAGAUGUAUUUUAGUUCUAGACACAUCCAUUUUGAUGACAAGUAAUUCUGGACGGAGGGAGUACUUG